Molecule: ribosomal RNA, 253 nt
Filed under: uncultured bacterium
Lineage: Bacteria
Description: partial 16S ribosomal RNA
Rfam family: Bacterial small subunit ribosomal RNA
Source: RNAcentral
UACGGGGGGGGUAAGCGUUGUUCGGAAUUACUGGGCGUAAAGGCUCGUAGGCGGCCAACUAAGUCAGACGUGAAAUCCCUCGGCUUAACCGGGGAACUGCGUCUGAUACUGGAUGGCUAGAGUUUGGGAGAGGGAUGCGGAAUUCCAGGUGUAGCGGUGAAAUGCGUAGAUAUCUGGAGGAACACCGGUGGCGAAGGCGGCAUCCUGGACCAACACGUGACGCUGAGGAGCGAAAGCCAGGGGAGCAAACGGG